Molecule: unclassified non-coding RNA, 444 nt
Filed under: Hevea brasiliensis (rubber tree)
Lineage: Eukaryota; Viridiplantae; Streptophyta; Magnoliopsida; Malpighiales; Euphorbiaceae
Source: RNAcentral
GAAAUGUAAUCUCUCAGCUCCCCCUGCACGAGAAAAAAAAAAAUCAAAAUAAUCGAUCCAAAACUCCAGAUUCUAGCAUCAACAUCCUCUAAAAUAACAGAAUUAAGAAUGCAUAUCAAACUAUGAUCUUAGUUCAAAAUUAAAAUCCGACACACACACCCAUUAACAGAUCAAUCCAAAUCUCAUAUUAGCAACAAAGUCCCAUCAAAAAAUUCAGAAAUAACCAUCUUGAAAAAGAACAAACAAAUUAUUCAUUUUUUUUUGGCGUAUCAACAUCAAUCGAAAUCAACGCAGCAUACCCUGCCACCCCCACCAUCUCAACGUGUUUUUUGUACAAAAUAAUAUGCAAUCUUAAGAUUAAAAAUAAAUAAUUAAACAUAUUUCAUAAAUUUAAUAUAAAAAACAAAAACAACAACAACAAUUGUUUCAGGACAAGAAGCGAAG